GAUGUCUUUCUAGUCAAUCAAUGAUGUGAGUUUGGGGUGGGACUACUUCAUUAAUUGACCAAUAGGACAUUAAAAAGGUGCAGUAGAAAUGUCUGGGAACCUUGUUUAGAAUCCAGUUCCAUUUUGUGCCAGAAUUUCACACUGCAUAUUUAAGCAUGAAGAGAAUUCUUGCUGCUUAAUGUUUUGUCUGUGCAUGAGAGCUACAGCAAAAAGAGAGACUAGCAGUAGUGCAGCCCACAUCUGUGCACUGUACUUGAAUGCCAUCAAGUGGCAGCUGGGCCUUUUUUUCCCUUUGUUGUGAUGUCAUUACUCCCAAGCUUUUGUGCAAAUGUUGCAUACUCGCCAUAAGCCACUAACAACCACACAAAUAUGAAAAAUGAGAUAAACAAGAUGCUGCCUCAUGCGCCUUUCAGAAGGGGCUGGGGUAAUUUUAGAAAGAUAAUCUCCCUAAAUAUGAUUAAAGAUUAGGCAGCAAAGAACCAUAUAAACUCUAUGGAAAGUGGAGCUUCCGUAUGAAGUGGGAACAGAAUGAAUGCUGACUUACUGCAAAAUGGAUCUGGAAACUUUUGUACCAGAAUGUUCUUCUCUACACCUUCUUUCACCACCCUCAAGAAUCCAACAGGAAACACCACAUCCAGCCCCUAAAGUAAAUAUAAAAACCACUGGGAAGUAACAUUGUCAAGAUGAAUUAUCAAGAGUUUACACUGUUUCCCGGUGCAUACAAAAUGGCAGAACUGUAUAACGACUCCUGAGCUUUUCAUUAAUUAGACAGUCUCCUCCCUUUCAUCAAGCCUCAUGUUUGCUUGAAUGUGGUCGUGACCAUGAGCAGGGAUAAUCAGAAGGCUGCUGAGUCAAGUGUGUUUUUGUUCACCUGCAGUGGGGAAUCGGAAGGCUGGGGAGUUUAAUUCCACAUGAGAAUCACCUGUGAAGAUGGAAAGCGUAAUUAACUGCCAGAACAACUGCCUUACCUCCUGGUCUGAGGAUCCGACGUCUUGCUCAUCAUGCUGUUCAAGGCCUGAGGAGAGUGGAGACUGUCUGGAGUUUUCACAAGAUCUUAUAGCUAGGUUUACAGCCACUUUAACUGGUUAAAUUGUGCCCCCUUUUUAACCCAAACACAAUAAAUGGGACACCUAAACUAAUAUAGACAGCUCUUGAAGCCCUUGGACUGAUAGACCUUAAUCAGGUCACACGCCAUACUGAAUACUGAAACAAGGCUGUGAGGGAUAGACUAUCAAAACAGUUUAAUGGAGUUUUUGUCUGCUGAAUGUUUUUUUGGAAAGACUUCUGUCAGCUGAAUAAUCGGUAUGUUGUUAAACAAUAGUACUGUACAUUCCACUGAACGCUGUACUUCUAUCUCUCACAACCUCGUUUUCAUUCUUGUCAAAAGUUAAAUAUGGCCGACUAAGAUCUAUUGAGAUCUCAUUUGAAAGAAGAACCUUUGGCAGUUUCUUUGUGACAACUAAAAUUAGGUUUUUCCAUUUGCAUUUAGUAAGUAAGAGAAAUAAAUGCGAUAAUCAAUCUACUGUGGCUCCAAUCAAACUCACCUCUAGUUUGUGAUCACCCUCAAAUGAACCCGAACUGGAGUGUGUUUCCUGUAUAACAUAGUACGAUUCAUCGUUAGAUAGAUUAAUUAGGUAGUCACAACUGUUUCUGAAAAUUUCGUCGCAGAUCUGCCAAUAUAGAACUGUCGUUUAAUGAUGUCUCCCAGGUUAUAGAGUAAUAACUUUUGUUUAAUAAUUGGUUCGAGAGCAAAUUCAUGUCAGAUAGUUGUAUGUAAAUGACAAACAUGGCAUCUUAGUACUACGCUAUUUUGGUUUCAGGAAACACAGAAUCAUUGAACUAUGUUGGUAACAAGUGUGCCACACAUGUCCUGAAAAGUGAAGCCAAAAUAUUUUGAUCGCCAUCUGGAGGUUUGGAUGCAUUAUUGGUCAUAAACCCCACUAAUGGAAUGUGAGCCAAACUUGUUAAUCAAAUUACACUUUUAAAGUGUAAUUUACACAAAGAUGGUUUCCAUCAUUUUAUGUAGUUCUUGACAUGCUAAUGUAUGUCCAAGUGUUCAUUUUUGUAAUAAGCUUUUAGUUAGUUAUUUGAUGCUAUAAAAAUGGGGUGUGGUGUCAUGAUUGUGUGCUUGCGAUUGGGUCUGUGGGAGUUUGGGCGGGACUUUAAUACCCUGGCUCCAACUAAUGAUCACUACUGCACAGAAUCAGGCUCUAAAUGAUGUCAUUUUCGCAAGAUGACAGCAGCCAUACUUAGAUGUAUUGGCUGCACUUUCUAUAGUGGAAGGAAGUGGAGAUGCAUCGUCCUUCUUUUUUUUUUUUUAAGUCUGUGGUUUGAAACAACAAAAAUGUAAUGUACAUAAAGAGGUUAAGAUGCUUCUAGCCAUUAAAAAAAAAAAAAAAAUAACAACCUAAACAUUUCUUCCUCUGGGUUUAGAAAUUUAAAUGCAAAAUUUUAAACUUUGUUACCCACAACCCUUGGCUACAAAAAUACCUUUGGUGAGAAGCUGCAAAUGACAAACUUUAGAAAUACGUAUCUCACAUCUAAGCCAUUUGGAGCAUUUGAAGCAGAAAGAUGGACCUGCUUCAAAGAUUUUUGGACACAGAAGACAUAUGCUUGAAAAGCACAACUGUAUAUCUAGAAGUCUCUCUAAUACCAAAUAUAGUUUCCCUGAUGUGUAAAACUAUAUAGUCAGGCCAGUCAUGCAGAAAUAUGAAACAAAACCAGAUUAAAC
This is a long non-coding RNA of Cyprinus carpio carpio, 2731 nucleotides long. Lineage: Eukaryota; Metazoa; Chordata; Actinopteri; Cypriniformes; Cyprinidae. The record is from Ensembl.